This is a non-coding RNA of Pelodiscus sinensis (Chinese soft-shelled turtle), 928 nucleotides long. The record is from RefSeq and is a predicted model, not a curated record. Lineage: Eukaryota; Metazoa; Chordata; Testudines; Trionychidae.
AUUACUUGACUAGAGCUCAUACAAGCAAAUAUUGAACAUGUUAUACUCCUUGGUAUUCAGUUAAAGGACCUCACUGCUAAUUGUGUUGUGGCAACCUAUCUUUCUUUUUUGUGAUACAAGAAAAGAUUUGCACUGAAGGUUCUAUAGAUGGAAGACUAAUGCACUCAUUUACUACCCUUUCCUUUAACAUGAAAUUCAGUGAAUUGGACGGAAACAAAUUGAGUAUCCAGGCCAGCUAAUUAUUAAUUCAGGAGGGAAUCUUCUCCCUCAUCCCAUGACAGCUUACUUUGCUUAAGAGACUUCGGUGAGGGACCUUGUCAAAGACUUUCUGAAAAUCUAAGUACACAAUAUCCACUGGAUCACCGUUGUCCAUAUGCUUGUGGAUCCCUUCAAAUAAUUCUUGUAUAUUGUUAUGGAGAAAUUCUGGCAUGUAUCCAGCCAGAUGUGGUUCCUGGUAUUAAAGCCUAAGAAAUAAGUCACAAGGAAGACUAAUGAACAGCCACUGAUGUUGAAAAAUAAGUUUCCUAGGAGAUAGAGGGAGUUGAAUGGAUUUGAUGUCAUAGUGUACACACACAAAAGAACAACUCCAUAGUGCCCAUUUUGAGUGGAAAACUCUGUCUCUAAUUUUCCAUUUACCUUGAAUGGUAUAUUGGGAAUAUUCCCACAUGGAACUCCUGAAGAAAAAGUAAGAUGAACCACUGCAUUAUGAACAGACUGAAACUGAUCCAGAAGAGGCAACUCAGCAAUGCAUCAGUAAAGUUGACAAGAAUGGGAUACUUAUGUUCUCUUUAGCUUUAUCUGGUGGGAAGCAUCAUAUCCCAACCUGUAUCAGAGUUGAAGGAUGAGUUCUAGAUCUAUAAAAUUUGGAUUUCUUCAAUUGUUUAACUCGUAAUAAGCAGAAAUCAUGUUAGAAGUCAGGAGUUUUGGU